Non-coding RNA from Camelina sativa (false flax), 1066 nucleotides. Lineage: Eukaryota; Viridiplantae; Streptophyta; Magnoliopsida; Brassicales; Brassicaceae. The record is from RefSeq and is a predicted model, not a curated record.
AUAAAAAAAUAUCUUUAGACUAAACGUUCUUCUUUGCUUCAUCUCUUUCUUUCAACAGUUCCGAGUACAGAAAUUUUUCUCCAUCGAUGUCGAAAUCGAAAGUGGAAAACUCAAAUCAAUCAUAGGGUUUUUCGUUAUUCUGCUUCUUUGAUUACUUCAGAAUCGUCCAAAUCCCGAUUGGAGUUCAGUUCUGACGAUAAAAUCAUCUCUGCUCUCAAAUUUUGAAAGGCCUUACAACUCUCAACAAAAAGACACAGGCACAUUAGAAACCAGUGGCAAAACAGAUUCAUUCCAAAGAAAGUGAGACUGCGUAAUAUUAAAAGUCGAAGCGAAUUAAAGAUACUACAUGCACUUGGAAAAAAGAGUUUGGCAAGAAAAGCUUAUGAGAUUGAAGAGGAGACUGGCAAAGAACCAAGUCGAGCAGAAAUGUUCAUUGCAUCACGAACAAGAUCAGAUGGAAAUUUCAUUUGCAAUGAAGCAAGGAUAUCUGCAGAUAAGCUUACACAAGUAAUGAAUCAAAAUAUUAAAAGUGAAGCAUCAAGUAGUGAGUCUGGUCCUAAGGAUGCAUUUGAACAAGUAUUUGGUUCCGAGCAUUCUGGAAGAGUUCGAUGUGUGGGACGUGGUCCAACACCGUCCAAAUACUUUCAGAAUUUGGAAUCGCAGGUAAGAAGUAACUCUGAGAUACUUGAGCUGAAGUCUCGCAUGAAAGGACUUGAAGAUAAACUUGAUAUCGUGGCUAACGCUCUUCAGAUUAUUAUUUCAAACAAUCAAUUUCAAACUAGUACGACAGAGACUAAGAUUGACUAGAAUGAUCAUAAAGUGACGUGAUAUGGAAUUUAGUGAAGAAUGGAGACAAUGAUUUCAUCUAGCCUUUUGAUAGAAGAUGAAGGACAAGAAAAUAUAGAAGAUGAAGGACAAGAAAAUAUAGAAGAGGAUAUAUAAAAGAUAGAUUUUAAUGCAAUGUUAUUUACUUUUACAUUUUUUAUUAUCAUGUACACAAGAACACAAGUAUAUUUGAGACAGAUUAAUUGAUUUUUAUCACUUGAUGAAUAUUGUGUUCUGGUUA